CAGGGAUUACCUUAGUAACGGCGAGUGAAGCGGUAAAAGCUCAAAUUUGAAAUCUUCGGAAUUGUAAUUUGACGGGUAGAAUUGCGAUUAACAAAAGUUCACUGGAACGUGACGCCACAGAGGGUGAUAGCCCCGUUAAUUAAACGCACUAUAAUUCUAUUCCUAAGAGUCGGGUUGUUUGGGAAUGCAGCUCAAAGUGGGUGGUAAAUUCCAUCUAAAGCUAAAUAUUGGCGAGAGACCGAUAGCGAACAAGUACAGUGAUGGAAAGAUGAAAAGAACUUUGAAAAGAGAGUGAAAUAGUACGUGAAAUUGUUGAAAGGGAAGGGAAAGGGGGAGAUAAUUCAAGACAAUACCUAGUGUUACUUGACCACAUCUUGCUCUUUUCACCCGUCUUGAAACACGGACCA
Molecule: ribosomal RNA, 407 nt
Filed under: Metschnikowia sp. UWO(PS)03-147.1
Lineage: Eukaryota; Fungi; Ascomycota; Pichiomycetes; Serinales; Metschnikowiaceae
Description: LSU rRNA
Rfam family: Eukaryotic large subunit ribosomal RNA
Source: RNAcentral